UACGGAGGGUGCAAGCGUUGUUCGGAAUUAUUGGGCGUAAAGCGCGCGCAGGCGGCCCAGUCAGUCUACGGGUGAAAGGCCGGGGCUCAACCCCGUGCUUGCCCGAGAUACUGCUGGGCUGGAGAUAGGUAGAGGCGAGCGGAAUUCCGGGUGUAGCGGUGGAAUGCGUAGAGGUCCGGAAGAACACCAGAGGCGAAGGCGGCUCGCUGGACCUCAUCUGACGCUGAGGCGCGAAAGCGUGGGGAGCGAACAGG
This 254-nucleotide unclassified non-coding RNA is filed under the name uncultured Gemmatimonadota bacterium. RNAcentral describes it as "uncultured Gemmatimonadetes bacterium contains 16S-23S intergenic spacer region". It matches the Rfam family "Bacterial small subunit ribosomal RNA", at positions 524 to 776 of the family's 1533-position model. The record is from RNAcentral. Lineage: Bacteria; Pseudomonadati; Gemmatimonadota.